This 253-nucleotide ribosomal RNA is filed under the name uncultured bacterium. RNAcentral's name for it is "partial 16S ribosomal RNA". It matches the Rfam family "Bacterial small subunit ribosomal RNA", at positions 524 to 776 of the family's 1533-position model. The record is from RNAcentral.
UACGUAGGGCGCAAGCGUUAUCCGGAAUUAUUGGGCGUAAAGAGCUCGUAGGCGGCUUGUCGCGUCGGCCGUGAAAGUCCGGGGCUCAACUCCGGAUCUGCGGUGGGUACGGGCAGACUAGAGUGAUGUAGGGGAGACUGGAAUUCCUGGUGUAGCGGUGAAAUGCGCAGAUAUCAGGAGGAACACCGAUGGCGAAGGCAGGUCUCUGGGCAUUAACUGACGCUGAGGAGCGAAAGCAUGGGGAGCGAACAGG